Molecule: small RNA, 28 nt
Filed under: Bombyx mori (domestic silkworm)
Lineage: Eukaryota; Metazoa; Arthropoda; Insecta; Lepidoptera; Bombycidae
Description: ovarian small RNA-19706
Source: RNAcentral
UAAUCUGUGUGACUGUUUUAGAACGUGU